Molecule: small nucleolar RNA, 104 nt
Filed under: Gossypium hirsutum (cotton)
Lineage: Eukaryota; Viridiplantae; Streptophyta; Magnoliopsida; Malvales; Malvaceae
Description: Plant small nucleolar RNA R71
Rfam family: Plant small nucleolar RNA R71
About the family: R71 is a member of the C/D box family of snoRNAs containing the C (UGAUGA) and D (CUGA) box motifs. Multiple nearly identical copies of this snoRNA have been identified in Arabidopsis, and it is thought to function as a 2'-O-ribose methylation guide for 18S ribosomal RNA.
Source: Rfam by way of RNAcentral
AACCCAUGGUGAGGACACCUUCUCAGUAAGUCCUCGUAUCUCUCCCAUGCCUCUUAAAGUGUUUCUAAAUCCAUCUGCACAAAAGAAGAGAUAUCAUUACGCAU